UUCUAUUAAUUAAUUAAUAGUAAAAUCUGCUCAAUGAAAUUUUAAUAGCCGCAAUUCGUGCUAAGGUAGCAUAAUAAUUUGUCUUUUAAUUGAAGACUAGAACAAACGAUUUAACUUUUAAAUUUAUCUCUCAAAUUUAAAAUUUUUAAAUUMUCCUAAACGUUAAAAGACGUUUAUGAAAAAGAAAGACGAUAAGACCCUAUUGAAUUUAACUAAAGUUUAACUGGGGCAGUUAAUMAAUUAACACUUUAAUUUAAAUUUAAAAUUAAAAGACCCAAUAUAAUUAAUUAUCUAACUAAAUUACCAUAGGGAUAACAGCGCUAUUAUUUUUUAAAGAUCUUAUAUAAAAAAUACUUUACGACCUCGAUGUUGAAUUAAUAUACCAAUAUUACGCAAUAGUUAUAUUGGAAGUCUGUUCG
Molecule: ribosomal RNA, 419 nt
Filed under: Udubidae gen. 1 sp. 1 AH-2021a
Lineage: Eukaryota; Metazoa; Arthropoda; Arachnida; Araneae; Udubidae
Description: partial large subunit ribosomal RNA
Source: RNAcentral